This 495-nucleotide ribosomal RNA is filed under the name uncultured bacterium. Its description in RNAcentral is "bacterial SSU rRNA". It matches the Rfam family "Bacterial small subunit ribosomal RNA", at positions 16 to 507 of the family's 1533-position model. The record is from RNAcentral.
AUCAUGGCUCAGAUUGAACGCUGGCGGCAUGCCUUACACAUGCAAGUCGAACGGCAGCGGACCUUCGGGUGCCGGCGAGUGGCGAACGGGUGAGUAAUAUAUCGGAACGUACCUUUCAGUGGGGGAUAACGUAGCGAAAGUUACGCUAAUACCGCAUAUUCUGUGAGCAGGAAAGCAGGGGACCGCAAGGCCUUGCGCUCUUUGAGCGGCCGGAUGUCAGAUUAGCUAGUUGGUGAGGUAAAGGCUUACCAAGGCGACGAUCUGUAGCGGGUCUGAGAGGAUGAUCCGCCACACUGGAACUGAGACACGGUCCAGACUCCUACGGGAGGCAGCAGUGGGGAAUUUUGGACAAUGGGGGCAACCCUGAUCCAGCCAUGCCGCGUGAGUGAAGAAGGCCUUCGGGUUGUAAAGCUCUUUCGGCCGGGAAGAAAUCGCAUGGGUGAAUACCCUGUGUGGAUGACGGUACCGGAACAAGAAGCACCGGCUAACUACGUG